This 295-nucleotide long non-coding RNA is filed under the name Sorghum bicolor (sorghum). Its description in RNAcentral is "long non-coding RNA (SBIC_LNC013688)". Lineage: Eukaryota; Viridiplantae; Streptophyta; Magnoliopsida; Poales; Poaceae. The record is from RNAcentral.
GCUUGUGCAGGUGCUGAUUGAGCCACAUGUUGACAAACCACCAGGGGCCUCCCAAGUUGCCAGUGGAUUGGCCGAGCAGAAGUUUCUGGGCUACUUGAUGGAGAAGGUGGUAAGCAGCGCCAAGCAAGUAUCGGCCGAGAGGGAAUCGGGCACCAUUAGUCAGUCUUUCUGCUGCCGAUAGGUAGACAGAAGUCGGUCCUGCCGAUCGACCACAGAAUACAAACUUGUCCAGCCACAUGUUCAGAAAGGUGGUUUGUUCCUUUAUGGUGACAGAUCCUUUCCCACGGUACUUCUG